This 446-nucleotide ribosomal RNA is filed under the name uncultured bacterium. RNAcentral describes it as "partial 16S ribosomal RNA". It matches the Rfam family "Bacterial small subunit ribosomal RNA", at positions 338 to 795 of the family's 1533-position model. The record is from RNAcentral.
CCUACGGGUGGCAGCAGUCGAGAAUCAUUCACAUUGGGGGAAACCCUGAUGGUGCGACGCCGCGUGGGGGAAUGAAGGUCUUCGGAUUGUAAACCCCUGUCAUGUGGGAGCAAAUUAAAAAGAUAGUACCACAAGAGGAAGAGACGGCUAACUCUGUGCCAGCAGCCGCGGUAAUACAGAGGUCUCAAGCGUUGUUCGGAAUCACUGGGCGUAAGGCGUGCGGAGGCUGUUUCGUAAGUCGUGUGUGAAAGGCGCGGGCUCAACCCGCGGACGGCACAUGAUACUGCGAGACUAGAGUAAUGGAGGGGGAACCGGAAUUCUCGGUGUAGCAGUGAAAUGCGUAGAUAUCGAGAGGAACACUCGUGGCGAAGGCGGGUUCCUGGACAUUAACUGACGCUGAGGCACGAAGGCCAGGGGAGCGAAAGGGAUUAGAUACCCCUGUAGUC